This 513-nucleotide ribosomal RNA is filed under the name uncultured bacterium. RNAcentral's name for it is "bacterial SSU rRNA". It matches the Rfam family "Bacterial small subunit ribosomal RNA", at positions 32 to 560 of the family's 1533-position model. The record is from RNAcentral.
AACGUUGGCGGUGUGCCUUAUGCAUGCAAGUCGAACGGGGAAAUGACUUUCGGGUUAUAUUCUAGUGGCGAACGGCUGAGUAACGCGUAAGUAACCUACCCUCGAGUGGGGAAUAACUUGUCGAAAGGCAAGCUAAUACCGCAUGAAGUAACCAAAAGGGAUGCUUGGUUACCAAAGUCUUCGGAUGCUCGAAGAGGGGCUUGCGUCUGAUUAGCUAGUUGGUGAGGUAAUGGCUCACCAAGGCGAUGAUCAGUAGCUGGUCUGAGAGGAUGGUCAGCCAGAUAGGGACUGAGACACGGCCCUGACUCCUACGGGAGGCAGCAGCAGGGAAUAUUGGACAAUGGGCGAAAGCCUGAUCCAGCGACACCGCGUGAGGGAAGAAGGCCUUCGGGUUGUAAACCUCUUUUCUCUGGGAAGAAAUCUGACGGUACCAGAGGAAUAAGCCUCGGCUAAUUACGUGCCAGCAGCCGCGGUAAAACGUGGGAGGCGAACGUUAUCCGGAUUUACUGGGCG